Molecule: long non-coding RNA, 4834 nt
Filed under: Podarcis lilfordi (Lilford's wall lizard)
Lineage: Eukaryota; Metazoa; Chordata; Lepidosauria; Squamata; Lacertidae
Source: RNAcentral
GGAUACAGUUCGUCGACGUCGAUCUCCUCUGCUUCCAGUUCAGUGUAGGAGUGCUCGAAACCGGGGUCCUCCCCCAACACAUCCAAGUCCACCCCUCCCCCUGUUACUUCAGGCGAUGCUGCUUGCCAAGGCCCCCUUCGCCACCCCACUUCUGGUUGAUCGUCCCACCAAUAAGAGCGGUCCGUGUCCACCCCCGAGCACGAUCCCCUUGGAGGGCUCGAUUCCGGCGUGGUCUCCUCUGCGGAGGAGAACCACCGAAAGGUGCUGUCUGAAAGCGUAGGCGUAAAAAGCCAGUCGUCAAAAUACUCCGUUGGCAUGGGCCUGUGUGGGAAGAGUGCAUGGAACUCGUCUUUAAGAAGAGGUUCCUCCAAAGCAUAAUCUGGCACCCAACUGUCGGCGCUGGCCGUGGUACCUUCCCUGGCGAGGAGGUAUUCUACUCCCUCCUCCCCCCAUCUCGAGUCCAGAAUUUCCGUGGCCUCGUUGAGUGUCGGGGCCCUCGGUGACUUCCCCCCCCCCUGGUGACUUUCUACGUGGGUCUGGUGCCGUCCCUGGCUCCUGAAAUCUGUGUGGGGCCUUGUAGGGUGUAAGCACCGACCUAUGAAAGACCGGGUGCAUUCUGGAACCUUCUGGGAGGGUCAACCGAAAGCUACGGGAUUGAUCCUGCCCUCAACUUGGUAUGGCCCUAGCUGUUUGUUUCCUAGCUUCUUCUUAGCUAACGACUUGGCCGGCACCGCCUGGGCUGCUAACCAUACCCAGUCCCCCACCUGGAUGUCUUCUCCUGCCCUCCUGUGCCUGUCUGCCUGCACUUUGUAGGCGUGUUUAGCUAGUUCCAAGUGCCGUCGUAGCUCCUCGUGGACCUCCUGCAAUUCUGCUGCUAAAUGCUCAGCUCCCUGCGGCUCCUCCUGCGUCGUUGUCUCCAACGCCGGGAAGGUUCUGGGAUGUCGCCCAUUGUUGGCGAAGAACGGUGUCACCCCCGUUGACGUGUGCUUCGUGUUGUUGUAGGCAAACUCGGCCAUCGGUAAGUAGUCCACCCAAGUUGCAGGCUUUUGAUUGGCGUAACAUCGCAGGUACUGCUGCAUGAUGGCGUUGACCCUCUCCGCUUGGCCGUUGGUUUGCGGGUGUCUCGCCGACGCUAAGUUGAUCUUGACAUUCAGGAUGCCCAGGAGCUUCUGCCAGAAACUGGAAAUGAAUUGGCGACCCCGGUCGGACAGGAUGGACCGUGGUAAGCCGUGCACCCGGAACACGUGGUCUAUGAACAGCUUGGCGGUCUGUUCCGCUGUUGCCACCUUCGCGCAAGGAAUGAAGUGCGCCAUCUUGGUGAACAGGUCUACAACCACAAGCACCACCGUCUUGCCCCGCGAACUGGGCAGAUCAGUAACAAAGUCCAGCGCCACCCUAUCCCACGGCUGUAGUGGCGUCUCCAGCGGUUCCAGCAAUCCCGCUGGCUUCUUGUGCACUGGCUUGGACCUCUGACAAGUGUCACACCUGGCGACGUAAUCCGCGACCUCUCCCCGCAUCUGGGGCCACCAAAAGUCCCUGGCUACUAAGUCCGCCGUCUUUUCUUUGCCGAAGUGACCCGCGCUGGGUGCGUCGUGUAACUGCUGUAGAACCUUCGCACGGAGAUCGUCUCCCGGCACGUAGAGAGCACCUCUGCGGGUCAGCAGGCCGUCGCGUAUCUGGAAUUCGCCGUCCUUUGCUGUCCCUCUUCGCACCUCCUCCAUCUUGGAUUGUGCGAACGGAUCCGUCUGUAGCGCGCGUCGUACCGCGUCCAGGUCCACGGCGGCGGAAGCGCACGCCCACGCUUGCGGUGCGAAAAUGUGCCUGGCUGCCACUGGUGCCGCUUCCUCGAGAUACUGCGGUUUCCUGGAGAGCGCAUCCGCUAUGACGUUGUUGUCUCCCGGGAUAUACUCUAUCCUGAAAUCGAAAUCCGCAAAGAACUCCGCCCAUCUUAUGUGCCUCUGGCUCUGGAGCUUCGCCGUGCGCCAAUACUCUAGGUUCUUGUGGUCCGUGCGGACCUGCACGGUGUGCUUGGCUCCGAUGAGGAAGUGCCGCCACGCCUUGAAAGCCGCGUGGAUGGCCAACAACUCCCUGUCCCAGAUGGUGUAGUUCUGUUCCGACUUGCUGAGCUUCCGGGAAUAGAAAGCGCAGGGCCUCCAGUUCCCUUGCGGAUCUUCCUGCAAGAGGACGGCCCCCACUGCUCUGUCAGAUGCGUCAGUCUCAACCCGCAUGGGCCUGCCGGGAUUCACGUGUAGCAGCUGUUCUUCGGACGCGAAGAGGCUCUUAAGUCUCCUGAAGGACUGCUCCGCCUGGUCCGUCCAGGUGAACUUUUUCUUCUUGGAACUGAGGGUGUCCGUGAUAGCUGCCGUCUCUUUCGCGAAACCCCUGAUGAACUUGCGGUAAAAGUUGGCGAAGCCGACGAACCUCUGGACCUCCUUCCGAUUGCGCGGGCUAUUCCAGUCCAACACCGCGCGGACUUUGGCGCUGUCCAUGGCUAGUCCCUUGUCGGACAGCCCGUAGCCCAGGAAAUCCACCUCCGUCACGUCGAACUGGCACUUCUCCAGUUUGGCGUAGAGUCUGUGCUCCCGUAGCCUCUGCAGGACCUCCUUUACGUCUCUCUCGUGAGUCUCCUGCGAUGCUGAGAAGAUCAGAAUGUCGUCGAGGAAGCAUACGCACUUCUUGUAGAGGAGUCCCGCUAGCACGUGGUGCAUGAAUGCUUGGAAACAGUGGGAGCCAUUUUGGAGACCAAACGGCAUAACUCUGUAUUCAUAGGUGCCCAGCGGCGUGAACAUGGCCGUCUUCCACUCGUCACCUUCCCUCAUGCGUAUUAGAUUGUAUGCUCCGCGUAGAUCCAACUUGGUGAAGAUCCUCCCCUUCCUCACCGUCGCGAGCAGGUCGUCAAUCUUGGGCAUGGGGAAGGCCUUGGGCUUUGUCAUCGAGUUUAUGGCCCUAUAGUCCACAAUGAGCCUCUUUUGGGGCGUGUCCUUCUUCUUCACGAAAAACACAGGACUGCCCCCCACUGCCUUGGAUUCUCGGAUGAAUCCCCGCUUCAAAUUGUGAUCUAUGAACUCCCUGAGUUCCUGCAUCUCAUCUUCAGACAUGGAAUACAGCUUCGCAGUCGGCAGCGUCGCCCCUGGUAGGAGGUCAAUUGCACAGUCGUAGGGCCUGUGUGGUGGUAAUUGGUCAGCUUCCUUUUCGCAGAAGACCUCCAAAAACCCCUUGUACUUGUGGGGCACCGCCUGCACCAUGCUGAGAUGCAACUGUUGCCCCUCCUCCUGGCCCUCCUCCUCUUGGCCGGUCUGGAUGCAAUGUUGUGCGCAGUAGGACGAGCCAAAGGUGAGCUGCCGCUGGUACCACGCUAAUGAUGGGCUGUGUCUAUCCAGCCAACUCAUGCCUAACACUAUAGGCGUGUCUGACAGGCGGGUGACGUUGAAACUGAUGACCUCGCGAUGAUUCCCGAUCUGCAGCACCAUGGGUGGCGACUGCUGUACCACUUGCCCGCCCAGCAACUUCCUGCCAUCUACGGUGACGACGUUCAGAGGCAGCGUGGCUGGUAGAAGCGCUAUGCGAUGCUGCUUGAUGAACUGCAUCCCCACGAAGUCUGCGUUGCUCCCUGAGUCAAUUGUAAUGGGGACUUCCAGGGUGAGUCCAUUAGGUAGCUGGAGAGUAGCAGUGAGCUGUACCACUGGCUUGGGUGGUAAGGGGUCUGUAGGCUGCAAAAGCGCUGGGGACUGCUUCAGUGACUUGCCUGGCUGAGCCCCAGCAUGUUUGCUUCCAGCCAGGCAUUGUCGUUUCCCUGAAACUGCUCUCCUGUAGCGCUGCUUCUGUUACUGUUGCUAAGGCUGCAGUGUGCUUCUGGAGCCUCUGGGGACACUCUUUAGCCAUGUGCUGUGCACUGUCACAGAUGUAACACUUCCUGGUCCCUCUAGGAGGCUUCGCCUUGACUGCUCCGGACGCUGAGGCUCCGGCAGCUGUCUGAGCCUUUGCACCACCAAGCUCCAUUGGUUCUUCCCCCUCCCUCAGCAGAGGCGAGGGAUGCGUACGUCCCAGGUCCCUGGGAAGAAAAGGAGGCGCUCUAGCUGGUGUGCGGACGUGGCGCCCCUCCUCACUGUGCCAAGGGCGUUAUUCGUGGCGCACCCCGAUCGUGAGUGCCCUCUGCACGACGUCUGCUAGGGUUUGAGGUCUGUCCCCCCUGGCCAACUCAUCUUUUACGGAGCCAUGAAGCUCCUCCCAGAACAAGUCUCUCACUGCCAGUGAGUCCUUUUCCCAGCCCAGCACAUUCAGCAAUGCAAAAAAGCGAGAAUGGUACUGACGCACUGUAGCCUUGCCCUGCCGCAAUCCAUGCAUCUCCCGGCGCGCCACAUCAACGUCAACGGUAGAUUGGAAGCAAGCGUCCAUGGCUUUGAUAAAUUCGUCAGAGUCCCUGCGGGCAGGACCAUCUUCGCGCCACAAAUUGCGUAACCAGGCUCUAGCUUCCCCAUGCAAAUGGGACACAAUAAAGCCUACUUUCUCCUCCUCAUCUUUGAAGUCUUUCCGAAGCAAAUGCAGCGCGUAUACGACGUCUGCUCUGAAACUGGGAUAAUGCUUCAGGUUCCCAUCGAAGUGGGCUACUAAAUUGCCCCCCCUCCGUCCGAGUCCGAUUCCCUCUGAUCUGGACCCCGGGAACCCCUCUUUGCACGCAUGAUCCCACCUGGCUUGCAGAUCCUGGCAUCGCGCUUCUGCUUCGGCAACUGUCUUCUGAGAGACCACUACCGCAGCGGAGAGUUCGGCGACUGCGUUUUGCAGGGACGUUAUCCGCUCCUCAGUAGUCAUGUUUGCCAAACUUCGUGAGCUUUGC